This 479-nucleotide ribosomal RNA is filed under the name uncultured Bacteroidota bacterium. Its description in RNAcentral is "bacterial SSU rRNA". It matches the Rfam family "Bacterial small subunit ribosomal RNA", at positions 28 to 505 of the family's 1533-position model. The record is from RNAcentral. Lineage: Bacteria; Pseudomonadati; Bacteroidota.
GAUGAACGCUAGCGGCAGGCCUAACACAUGCAAGUCGAGGGGUAUAAGGGUGCUUGCACCCUUAGAGACCGGCGCACGGGUGCGUAACGCGUAGGCAAUUUGCCUUAUACUGGGGGAUAGCCCGGAGAAAUUCGGAUUAAUACCCCAUAGCAUCUUUUAGAGGCAUCUCUGAGAGAUUAAAGAAUUUCGGUAUAAGAUAAGCCUGCGUCCUAUUAGCUAGAUGGAGAGGUAAUAGCUCACCAUGGCGACGAUAGGUAGGGGUCCUGAGAGGGAGAUCCCCCACACUGGUACUGAGACACGGACCAGACUCCUACGGGAGGCAGCAGUGAGGAAUAUUGGUCAAUGGACGAAAGUCUGAACCAGCCAUGCCGCGUGCAGGACGACGGUCCUACGGAUUGUAAACUGCUUUUUUACGGGAAGAAACCCGGUUUUGCGAAACCGACUGACGGUACCGUAAGAAUAAGGAUCGGCUAACUCCG